This 588-nucleotide ribosomal RNA is filed under the name uncultured bacterium. RNAcentral describes it as "partial 16S ribosomal RNA". It matches the Rfam family "Bacterial small subunit ribosomal RNA", at positions 355 to 1375 of the family's 1533-position model. The record is from RNAcentral.
UGGGGAAUUUUGGACAAUGGGCGAAAGCCUGAUCCAGCAAUGCCGCGUGUGUGAAGAAGGCCUUCGGGUUGUAAAGCACUUUUGUCCGGAAAGAAAUCCUUGGCUCUAAUACAGUCGGGGGAUGACGGUACCGGAAGAAUAAGCACCGGCUAACUACGUGCCAGCAGCCGCGGCAAUACGUAGGGUGCAAGCGUUAAUCGGAAUUACUGGGCGUAAAGCGUGCGCAGGCGGUUUGCUAAGACCGAUGUGAAAUCCCCGGGCUCAACCUGGGAACUGCAUUGGUGACUGGCAGGCUAGAGUAUGGCAGAGGGGGGUAGAAUUCCACGUGUAGCAGUGAAAUGCGUAGAGAUGUGGAGGAAUACCGAUGGCGAAGGCAGCCCCCUGGGCCAAAUACUGACGCUCAUGCACGAAAAGCGUGGGGAGCAAACAGGAUUAGAUACCCUGGUAGUCCACGCCCUAAAACGAUGUCAACUAGUUGUUGGGGAUUCAUUUCCUUAGUAACGUAGCUAACGCGUGAAGUUGACCGCCUGGGGAGUACGGUCGCAAGAUUAAAACUCAAAGGAAUUGACGGGGUCAUAGCUGUUUCCU